CGAAAGCCUGACGGAGCAAUACCGCGUGAGGGACGAAGGUCUGUGGAUUGUAAACCUCUUUUGUUGGGGAAGAUAAUGACGGUACCCAACGAAUAAGCAUCGGCUAACUCCGUGCCAGCAGCCGCGGUAAGACGGAGGAUGCAAGCGUUAUCCGGAAUUAUUGGGCGUAAAGCGUACGUAGGCUGUUUUAUAAGUCUGUUGUCAAAGCGCGAGGCUCAACCUUGUAAAGGCAAUGGAAACUGUGAGACUAGAGAGAGAUAGGGGCAGGAGGAAUUCCAGGUGUAGCGGUGAAAUGCGUAGAUAUCUGGAAGAACACCAGUGGCGAAAGCGUCCUGCUGGAUCUCAACUGACGCUGAAGUACGAAAGCUAGGGGAGCG
This 377-nucleotide ribosomal RNA is filed under the name uncultured cyanobacterium. Its description in RNAcentral is "bacterial SSU rRNA". It matches the Rfam family "Bacterial small subunit ribosomal RNA", at positions 376 to 770 of the family's 1533-position model. Lineage: Bacteria; Bacillati; Cyanobacteriota. The record is from RNAcentral.